Molecule: ribosomal RNA, 495 nt
Filed under: uncultured bacterium
Lineage: Bacteria
Description: partial 16S ribosomal RNA
Rfam family: Bacterial small subunit ribosomal RNA
Source: RNAcentral
GACGAACGCUGGCGGCGUGCCUAAUACAUGCAAGUAGAACGCUGAAGGGAGAGCUUGCUCUUCUGGAUAAGUUUCGCAAGGGUGAGUAACGCGUAGGUAACCUGCCUGGUAGCGGGGGGGAACUAUUGUAAACGCUAGCUAUUACCGCAUAACAGUAGAUGUUGCAUGACAUUUACUUAAAAGAUGCAAUUGCAUCCCUACCAGAUGGACAUGCGGUGUAUUAGCUAGUUGGUGUGGUAAUGGCUCACCUAGGCGACGAUACAUAGCCGACCUGAGAGGGGGAGCGGCCACACUGGGACUGAGACACGGCCCAGACUCCUACGGGAGGCAGCAGUAGGGAGUCUUCGGCAAUGGGGGCAACCCUGACCGAGCAACGCCGCGUGAGUGAAGAAGGUUUUCGGAUCGUAAAGCUCUGUUGUAAGUCAAGAACGGGUGUGAGAGUGGAAAGUUCACACUGUGACGGUAGCUUACCAGAAAGGGACGGCUAACUCCGUG